GACGAACGCUGGCGGCAUGCCUAACACAUGCAAGUCGAACGAAGGCUUCGGCCUUAGUUGCGCUCGUGUGCUUAACGCGUGGGAAUCUGCCCUUGGGUUCGGAAUCCCAGUUAGAAAUGACUCCUCAUACCGGUUGAUCACGUAAGUCCAAGGAUUUAUCGCUUGAGGAUGAGCCCGCGUAGGAUUCGCUAGUUGGUGUGGUACAGGCGCACCAAGGCGACGAUCCUUAGCUGGUCUGUGAGGAUGAUCAGCCACACUGGGACUGAGACACGGCCCAGACUGCCACGCGACGCAGCAGUGGGGAAUAUUGGACGAUGGGCGCAAGCCUGGUCCAGCAAUGCCGCGGGAGUGAGGAAGGGGUUAGUGUUGUAAAGCUGUUUUAGCCGUGGUGAGAAUGACGGUAGCGGGUGAAUAAGCCCCGGCUAACUCCGUG
RNAcentral lists this ribosomal RNA (433 nucleotides) under uncultured bacterium. RNAcentral's name for it is "partial 16S ribosomal RNA". It matches the Rfam family "Bacterial small subunit ribosomal RNA", at positions 28 to 507 of the family's 1533-position model. The record is from RNAcentral.